Molecule: ribosomal RNA, 293 nt
Filed under: uncultured bacterium
Lineage: Bacteria
Description: partial 16S ribosomal RNA
Rfam family: Bacterial small subunit ribosomal RNA
Source: RNAcentral
GUGUCAGCCGCCGCGGUAACACGUAGGGUGCGAGCGUUGUCCGGAUUUAUUGGGCGUAAAGGGCCCGUAGGCGGUUUGGUAAGUCGGGUGUGAAAACUCUGGGCUCAACCCAGAGACGCCACCCGAUACUGCUAUGACUUGAGUCUGGUAGGGGAGUGCGGAAUUCCUGGUGUAGCGGUGAAAUGCGCAGAUAUCAGGAGGAACACCGGUGGCGAAGGCGGCACUCUGGGCCAGUACUGACGCUGAUGGGCGAAAGCGUGGGGAGCAAACAGGAUUAGAUACCCUAGUAGUCC